GAUGAAGAACGCAGCGAAAUGCGAUAAGUAAUGUGAAUUGCAGAAUUCAGUGAAUCAUCGAAUCUUUGAACGCACAUUGCGCCCGCCAGUAUUCUGGCGGGCAUGCCUGUUCGAGCGUCAUUUCAACCAUCAAGCCCCCGGCUUGUGUUGGGGACCUGCGGCUGCCGCAGGCCCUGAAAACCAGUGGCGGGCUCACUAGUCACUCCGAGCGUAGUAAUACAUCUCGCUCAGGGCGUGCUGCGGGUUCCGGCCGUUAAAAGCCUUAUUUUACCCAAGGUUGACCUCGGAUCAGGUAGGAAGACCCGCUGAACUUAAGCAUAUCAAUAAGCGGAGGA
RNAcentral lists this unclassified non-coding RNA (335 nucleotides) under soil metagenome. RNAcentral describes it as "partial contains 5.8S ribosomal RNA, internal transcribed spacer 2, and large subunit ribosomal RNA". The stretch from base 1 to 120 matches the Rfam family "5.8S ribosomal RNA", at positions 35 to 154 of the family's 154-position model. The record is from RNAcentral.